Molecule: ribosomal RNA, 254 nt
Filed under: uncultured bacterium
Lineage: Bacteria
Description: partial 16S ribosomal RNA
Rfam family: Bacterial small subunit ribosomal RNA
Source: RNAcentral
CACGUAGGGCGCAAGCGUUGUCCGGAAUCAUUGGGCGUAAAGAGCGCGUAGGCGGCCACCGCAAGUCGACUGUGAAAUCUCCGGGCUUAACCCGGAAAGGUCAGCCGAUACUGCGGGGCUAGAGUGCAGAAGGGGCAACUGGAAUUCUCGGUGUAGCGGUGAAAUGCGUAGAUAUCGAGAGGAACACCUGCGGCGAAGGCGGGUUGCUGGGCUGACACUGACGCUGAUGCGCGAAAGCUAGGGGAGCGAACAGG